UGGGAAGAAGCUUAAAUUGAGGGAAACUGCCGCGAGGUUAUUACUUUAAUAAAGGUACACUUAUUGAUAUCUUUGUAAGAGAUCAUUAUAUUAGUAUAAAAAUGGAAUAUUUAAUUAUAUUUUAUUUAUAAGUAGUUUUGUAUGCUUAUAUACAAUAGUUUUUAUUGUUAUUUGUCUUUUAUAAAACAAAACAUGUUUAUUAAGCUAAUUAGUAUCAGUUAACUCUUUUAAGUAACAUCU
Molecule: ribosomal RNA, 240 nt
Filed under: Tricholoma colossus
Lineage: Eukaryota; Fungi; Basidiomycota; Agaricomycetes; Agaricales; Tricholomataceae
Description: Tricholoma colossum partial small subunit ribosomal RNA
Source: RNAcentral